RNAcentral lists this ribosomal RNA (625 nucleotides) under Colletotrichum acutatum. Its description in RNAcentral is "eukaryotic LSU rRNA". It matches the Rfam family "Eukaryotic large subunit ribosomal RNA", at positions 1 to 648 of the family's 3401-position model. Lineage: Eukaryota; Fungi; Ascomycota; Sordariomycetes; Glomerellales; Glomerellaceae. The record is from RNAcentral.
GUUGACCUCGGAUCAGGUAGGAAUACCCGCUGAACUUAAGCAUAUCAAUAAGCGGAGGAAAAGAAACCAACAGGGAUUGCCCCAGUAACGGCGAGUGAAGCGGCAACAGCUCAAAUUUGAAAUCUGGCCCCAGGCCCGAGUUGUAAUUUGCAGAGGAUGCUUUUGGCGCGGUGCCUUCCGAGUUCCCUGGAACGGGACGCCAUAGAGGGUGAGAGCCCCGUACGGUUGGACACCAAGCCUUUGUAAAGCUCCUUCGACGAGUCGAGUAGUUUGGGAAUGCUGCUCUAAAUGGGAGGUACAUUUCUUCUAAAGCUAAAUAUUGGCCAGAGACCGAUAGCGCACAAGUAGAGUGAUCGAAAGAUGAAAAGCACUUUGAAAAGAGGGUUAAACAGCACGUGAAAUUGUUAAAAGGGAAGCGCUUGUGACCAGACUUGCGUCCGGUGAAUCACCCAGCUCUCGCGGCUGGGGCACUUCGCCGGCACAGGCCAGCAUCAGCUUGCCGUCGGGGACAAAAGCUUCAGGAACGUGGCUCCUCUCGGGGAGUGUUAUAACCUGUUGCAUAAUACCCUUCGGCGGGCUGAGGUACGCGCUCCGCAAGGAUGCUGGCGUAAUGGUCAUCAGCGAC